RNAcentral lists this ribosomal RNA (1102 nucleotides) under Microbacterium flavum. RNAcentral's name for it is "bacterial SSU rRNA". It matches the Rfam family "Bacterial small subunit ribosomal RNA", at positions 329 to 1441 of the family's 1533-position model. Lineage: Bacteria; Bacillati; Actinomycetota; Actinomycetes; Micrococcales; Microbacteriaceae. The record is from RNAcentral.
GCCCAGAUUCCUACGGGAGGCAGCAGUGGGGAAUAUUGCACAAUGGGCGAAAGCCUGAUGCAGCAACGCCGCGUGAGGGACGACGGCCUUCGGGUUGUAAACCUCUUUUAGCAGGGAAGAAGCGAAAGUGACGGUACCUGCAGAAAAAGCGCCGGCUAACUACGUGCCAGCAGCCGCGGUAAUACGUAGGGCGCAAGCGUUAUCCGGAAUUAUUGGGCGUAAAGAGCUCGUAGGCGGUUUGUCGCGUCUGCUGUGAAAUCCCGAGGCUCAACCUCGGGUCUGCAGUGGGUACGGGCAGACUAGAGUGCGGUAGGGGAGAUUGGAAUUCCUGGUGUAGCGGUGGAAUGCGCAGAUAUCAGGAGGAACACCGAUGGCGAAGGCAGAUCUCUGGGCCGUAACUGACGCUGAGGAGCGAAAGGGUGGGGAGCAAACAGGCUUAGAUACCCUGGUAGUCCACCCCGUAAACGUUGGGAACUAGUUGUGGGGUCCAUUCCACGGAUUCCGUGACGCAGCUAACGCAUUAAGUUCCCCGCCUGGGGAGUACGGCCGCAAGGCUAAAACUCAAAGGAAUUGACGGGGACCCGCACAAGCGGCGGAGCAUGCGGAUUAAUUCGAUGCAACGCGAAGAACCUUACCAAGGCUUGACAUAUACGAGAACGGGCCAGAAAUGGUCAACUCUUUGGACACUCGUAAACAGGUGGUGCAUGGUUGUCGUCAGCUCGUGUCGUGAGAUGUUGGGUUAAGUCCCGCAACGAGCGCAACCCUCGUUCUAUGUUGCCAGCACGUAAUGGUGGGAACUCAUGGGAUACUGCCGGGGUCAACUCGGAGGAAGGUGGGGAUGACGUCAAAUCAUCAUGCCCCUUAUGUCUUGGGCUUCACGCAUGCUACAAUGGCCGGUACAAAGGGCUGCAAUACCGUAAGGUGGAGCGAAUCCCAAAAAGCCGGUCCCAGUUCGGAUUGAGGUCUGCAACUCGACCUCAUGAAGUCGGAGUCGCUAGUAAUCGCAGAUCAGCAACGCUGCGGUGAAUACGUUCCCGGGUCUUGUACACACCGCCCGUCAAGUCAUGAAAGUCGGUAACACCUGAAGCCGGUGGCCCAACCC